CCCACGUCAUCAACUUCCGCUAUUUAAGUGAAAGCCGGUUGAAAUUUAAUUUUUUGACAGUUGUUACAGCUGUAUUACCAAAAUGGUCGAGUUUGGAUCAGGGCCGAUAAAGGAGAGCAUCGACAAUACUGUAUUUAUUGUCCCAGGAAUAAUUAUAGGGUUCUUAGUCAUAUUCUUCACCUACAAACUUGUGAAAAGUCUAAGAGAAAAGGAGAGACUGAAGGAAGAAAAGAAGAAGUUAAAACAGCAAAGAAAAGAAAAAGAAAGUGCCAAAAAAAUUAAGAAAAAAAUAUAAUGUGAUAAUGUUGUAGGUAAAUGUUUGUAAUUCAUGUUGAAGUAUAGUUUAAUGUGUGUUUGGAAAGAGAAAUUGGUAAAGUGAUUUUCAAAGAUAAUCAAAGGAGAUGGAAAUACAAGUUGCGAAGAAUUUUGACCAAGAACCUAGAAACAGUGAUUUUAAAACAGUGAUUUUGAGAAUGCACGAAGAAAUUUGGAAGCCAAAGUUUGAACCCAUAAAGAAAUUUGGCAGUCAAGGAUCCUUUCAUUUGAAGAAAAGUGUUACAACAUUAUAUUAAUACUUGUAAAUGGUGAAGAUUGUGUUCAGAUGGAUGUUUCUGUUAAUGAUUUAAAGUUUUCAAUCAAUGAGUUGACGCAAUAUAUUUAAAUCUCUAUAGAUUUUUAUUUUUACCUUUUUUAUUGAAAGAGAAAAAAAACAUCACUGGUGUCUCGAUAACUUGUAGCUCAUCAUGUUACAACUUUCAAAAGUCAUGCUGUCAUCAUAUGUUUAGACUUGGACAAUGGUUCCUGAAUCAUUGAAUAUUUGGUUUGAAUAUUAUUGUUAUAUAUUUAAUGCAUUCCAUUGUGUGAAUGUAGAUUAAUAGAAUUCAUUCUGUGCAAAACUAGUCUUAUAAAUUUUUACUAAAUUCUACUUUCAGUGUGCCAUUUAAUGUUAAUUUUCAAACCAUUUCGGUUCCAGAAUAUUUAAAAAAAAAUGAAUUUCAGCAAAAUGGGAAUUAAAUGUAUUGACAUGAAACAUGUAUGGCUGUAAAUCAUUUGCUAUGAUAGAUAAGCACAAGUGAAAAAUGGUGAACAAAAUCAGAAUAGAAUGUUACUGAAAUUGACUUGGAAAGGCAUAUCAAAAACUUAAUACUAUUGAUAGUUUGGCUACACAGACAAUUAUUUGAUCAGAUUAUGUGGAGAAUAACUUUGUACAUUUGUCAGUUAAAUCUGACAAAUGUCAAUUAUUUUGUGACAUUUGAAUGAUGCAAGUCAUCAGAACAGUUGGUUAUGUGUUAAUGUUUUAAGUUAAUGAUUUAGGUUGUACUAUGACUUAGGAGAAAGAAGAGUUUAUACUCUCAUCAUUAAUAUUAAACAGAAAACCACAUAUUUAGGUAUUUUUAAAUUUGCUUUACAUCCUUGGGAAUGAAAGAAGAAUUUUGAAAUUCGACCAUCCGAGGGGCUAAAAAGCAUUCCAGUCUCUGGUAUUCUUCGAUUUUGAUAGGGAAACACCAAACUCUUAAUUAGUUGUGGCCUCAUAUGCAAGAGAGGUAUUUAACUUUCUUUCACAUUUUUCUAGAAUUUAUGCAACGGUCAUUGACAAGUUUUAUUAUUAUUUAUAAAACAGUUCAAUAAUUUGGUUUUUGAAGGACCACAAUGUUUUAGUAAGCAUUUCAUUUUUACUUGUUUUUAAUAUUUGUUUGUAUAAAUUUCUUUUUCAGACAUUCUGUCAUGUCUGUACUGAAACUUUCACCAGUGAAUAUAGGACAAAUAUUAUUACUGUAGAUAUACGUGUAAUAACUAGUAAGUUUUUACCAAUUCACAGUUUCUUUAUUCCGCUAGUACUUUGUGACCAAACUUUUGCAAUAAUGUCAAUGAUACUGAUGUAUUUUAGUUUUUAAAUCUAAAAAUAACUGUUAAAAAUUAUUUCCUGAAACGCAAUACUAAAUCUGUCUGUGAAAUGUUUUAUAUUCAGUCGUUACAUUUUGAUAGAAUCAUGUUCAUGUGUUUGUAUUGUUAUUGGACGCAUUUCUUUUAUAAUAAGCCUUUUUCAUCGUUGUACAUUUUGUAAUUGAUGUUGCAUCAAAUAACUACAUAAUUAUUUUGUGUAUUAGACAACUGUAUUUAUAAUUUGUUGUUUAUCAUAACAUUCACUCUUGUGAAGCAUUUUGGUGGCAAGAUUAUUAAAGAAAACCAGUAAAUCAUA
Long non-coding RNA from Mya arenaria, 2200 nucleotides. RefSeq lists it as uncharacterized. The record is from RefSeq and is a predicted model, not a curated record. Lineage: Eukaryota; Metazoa; Mollusca; Bivalvia; Myida; Myidae. The transcript has 2 exons.